GAUGAACGCUGGCGGCGUGCCUAAUACAUGCAAGUCGAGCGAACAGACGAGGAGCUUGCUCCUCUGACGUUAGCGGCGGACGGGUGAGUAACACGUGGAUAACCUACCUAUAAGACUGGGAUAACUUCGGGAAACCGGAGCUAAUACCGGAUAAUAUAUUGAACCGCAUGGUUCAAUAGUGAAAGACGGUUUUGCUGUCACUUAUAGAUGGAUCCGCGCCGCAUUAGCUAGUUGGUAAGGUAACGGCUUACCAAGGCAACGAUGCGUAGCCGACCUGAGAGGGUGAUCGGCCACACUGGAACUGAGACACGGUCCAGACGCCUACGGGAGGCAGCAGUAGGGAAUCUGCCGCAAUGGGCGAAAGCUUGACGGAGCAACGCCGCGUGAGUGAUGAAGGUCUUCGGAUCGUAAAACUCGGUUAUUAGGGAAGAACAAAUGUGUAAGUAACUAUGCACGUCUUGACGGUACCUAGUCAGAAAGCCACGGCUAACUACGUG
This 497-nucleotide ribosomal RNA is filed under the name uncultured bacterium. RNAcentral's name for it is "partial 16S ribosomal RNA". It matches the Rfam family "Bacterial small subunit ribosomal RNA", at positions 28 to 507 of the family's 1533-position model. The record is from RNAcentral.